This 117-nucleotide ribosomal RNA is filed under the name Bacillus sp. LK2. Lineage: Bacteria; Bacillati; Bacillota; Bacilli; Caryophanales; Bacillaceae. The record is from RNAcentral.
GUCUGGUAAUGAUGGCAGAGAGGUCACACCCGUUCCCAUACCGAACACGGAAGUUAAGCUCUCUAGCGCCGAUGGUAGUUGGGACCUUGUCCCUGUGAGAGUAGGACGUUGCCAGGC